GAAACAGUUGCUAAGACUGGAUAGGAAAAUAAAAAGGCAUCUUUUUAUUUUUAAAAGACCUUUUUCGGAAGGUAUGCUUAAAGAGGGGCUUGCGUCACAUUAGUUAGUUGGCAGGGUAAAGGCCUACCAAGACUAUGAUGUGUAGCUGGACUGAGAGGUUGAACAGCCACAUUGGGACUGAGACACGGCCCAAACUCCUACGGGAGGCAGCAGUAGGGAAUUUUCGGCAAUGGAGGAAACUCUGACCGAGCAACGCCGCGUGAACGAUGAAGUAUUUCGGUAUGUAAAGUUCUUUUAUUGAAGAAGAAAAAAUAGUGGAAAAACUAUCUUGACGAUAUUCAAUGAAUAAGCCCCGGCAAACUAUGUGCCAGCAGCCGCGGUAAUACAUAGGGGGCGAGCGUUAUCCGGAAUUAUUGGGCGUAAAGGGUGCGUAGGCGGUUUAAUAAGUCUAUAGUUUAAUUUCAGUGCUUAACACUGUCCUGCUAUAGAAACUAUUAGACUAGAGUGAGAUAGAGGCAAGUGGAAUUCCAUGUGUAGCGGUAAAAUGCGUAAAUAUAUGGAGGAACACCAGAGGCGUAGGCGGCUUGCUGGGUCUUUACUGACGCUGAGGCACGAAAGCGUGGGGAGCAAACAGGAUUAGAUACCCUGGUAGUCCACGCCGUAAACGAUGAGUACUAAGUGUCGGGAUUACUCGGUACUGAAGUUAACACAUUAAGUACUCCGCCUGAGUAGUACGUACGCAAGUAUGAAACUUAAAGGAAUUGACGGGACUCCGCACAAGCGGUGGAUCAUGUUGUUUAAUUCGAAGAUACACGAAAAACCUUACCAGGUCUUGACAUACUCUGCAAAGCUAUAGCAAUAUAGUGGAGGUUAUCAGGGAUACAGGUGGUGCAUGGUUGUCGUCAGCUCGUGUCGUGAGAUGUUAGGUUAAGUCCUAAAACGAGCGCAACCCUUGUCAUUAGUUGCCAGCAUGUCAUGAUGGGCACUUUAAUGAGACUGCCAAUGAAAAAUUGGAGGAAGGUGAGGAUCACGUCAAAUCAUCAUGCCCCUUAUGAUCUGGGCUACAAACGUGAUACAAUGGCUGUUACAAAGAGUAGCUGAAACGCAAGUUUAUAGCCAAUCUCAUAAAAGCAGUCUCAGUUCGGAUUGAAGUCUGCAACUCGACUUCAUGAAGUUGGAAUCGCUAGUAAUCGCGAAUCAGCAUGUCGCGGUGAAUACGUUCACGGGGUUUGUACACACCCCCCGUC
RNAcentral lists this ribosomal RNA (1247 nucleotides) under Candidatus Phytoplasma sacchari. Its description in RNAcentral is "bacterial SSU rRNA". It matches the Rfam family "Bacterial small subunit ribosomal RNA", at positions 153 to 1398 of the family's 1533-position model. Lineage: Bacteria; Bacillati; Mycoplasmatota; Mollicutes; Acholeplasmatales; Acholeplasmataceae. The record is from RNAcentral.